AGUGAACGCUGGCGGUAGGCCUAACACAUGCAAGUCGAACGGCAGCACAGUAAGAGCUUGCUCUUACGGGUGGCGAGUGGCGGACGGGUGAGGAAUACAUCGUAAUCUACUUUUUCGUGGGGGAUAACGUAGGGAAACUUACGCUCAUACCGCAUACGACCUACGGGUGAAAGCAGGGGAUCUUCGGACCUUGCGCGAUUGAAUGAGCCGAUGUCGGAUUAGCUAGUUGGCGGGGUAAAGGCCCACCCAGGCGACGAUCCGUAGCUGGUCUGAGAGGAUGAUCGGCCGCACUGGAACUGAGACACGGUCCAGACUCCUAAGGGAGGCAGCAGUGGGGAAUAUUGGACAAUGGGCGCAAACCUGAUCCAGCCAUACCGCGUGGGUGGAGAAGGCCUUCGGGUUGUAAAGCCCUUUUGUUGGGAAAGAAAAGCAGCAGGUUAAUACCCCGCUGUUCUGACGGUACCCAAAGAAUAAGCACCGGCUAACUUCGUG
Molecule: ribosomal RNA, 492 nt
Filed under: uncultured bacterium
Lineage: Bacteria
Description: partial 16S ribosomal RNA
Rfam family: Bacterial small subunit ribosomal RNA
Source: RNAcentral